AGAAAGCGUCGACACCCUUCAACCACCCACAACCAGACGCGAAACAGCAUGCACGGCGAAGAUUACGCGCAGAAAACCUUCGCGCCAGGCCUCGCGGGUGUGUGCAGAGUGAGAGUGUGGUGAGAAGAGAGGAAGGAGGCGAGACGGCGGCCUAGCUGCUUUUCGAAAAGCCUGCAGAGAAGAAAAACCGCAGCGAUUCCGUGCUCCUCUUUUUCGGCAACAAGAGCGUCAGAGGCUUCGCGUCGAGUUCGCUGCGAAAAGAAAAAAUCGGAAGCGUCGUGCCCAGCUUCGUGCGGUUCUCCAUCUGAGAAGCGCUUUGCAGAAAGAACGAGAAGAUACUGGGACCUGCAUGUCUGGACGCUCUGUAAAAAGGAGACAGAAGGAAUCCUCAAGUGUACAUGUUUUUCCCUUUUUUCCGGUCGUCGUCGCGCUAAAGGAUUUGGAGUACGAAGCAGCCGUGCCUUCUGCUGUGUUUCGCUUCAACUGAACACAGUGGCGGAGAACUCUCUCACGGGCGCAGGGAGAGAGAGGCGCGCGCGCAGUUCGGACGGCUCCCGAUCUCCAAUCGAAAGCAACAGGAAUUCCUUGUUGCCCAUGAUUCCUGUGUACAGAGUGCUUGGCAGAACAGUCUUUACCUGUUUCUGGAGCAAGAAACAACGUUUUCAAGCGACGCGGUAGUGUCCAGAGUGAGAGGGAGGCGGGGAGGAGGUAGCUGCUGCCAGCACUGUUCUCUCCACUGUCUGUUUCCCUUUUAGAUGCAGACAGAUAUCCAUCUCGAGACAUUGUACAUCUAAUCUUGCUAACCAC
RNAcentral lists this long non-coding RNA (807 nucleotides) under Toxoplasma gondii VEG. The record is from RNAcentral. Lineage: Eukaryota; Apicomplexa; Conoidasida; Eucoccidiorida; Sarcocystidae.